Molecule: ribosomal RNA, 253 nt
Filed under: uncultured bacterium
Lineage: Bacteria
Description: partial 16S ribosomal RNA
Rfam family: Bacterial small subunit ribosomal RNA
Source: RNAcentral
UACAGAGGUCUCAAGCGUUGUUCGGAUUCAUUGGGCGUAAAGGGUGUGUAGGUGGCGCCGUAAGUCGGGUGUGAAAUUUCGGAGCUUAACUCCGAAACUGCAUACGAUACUGCGGUGCUUGAGGACUGGAGAGGAGACUGGAAUUCAUGGUGUAGCAGUGAAAUGCGUAGAGAUCAUGAGGAAGACCAGUGGCGAAGGCGGGUCUCUGGACAGUUCCUGACACUGAGACACGAAGGCCAGGGGAGCAAACGGG